Athalia rosae (coleseed sawfly) is the source of this 458-nucleotide long non-coding RNA. RefSeq lists it as uncharacterized. NCBI's taxonomy places the organism in Eukaryota, Metazoa, Arthropoda, Insecta, Hymenoptera, Athaliidae. The record is from RefSeq and is a predicted model, not a curated record. The transcript is spliced from 3 exons.
ACAUGACACUGACGCAUUGAAAGUUCAGGAAAUCACCUUUGGUUGUGUCUUUACAACUAGAUCUUGGAAUGGCGCAGUUCUGAAAAGCUCGGAAAGUUGUAAGCGCCUCUCUUCUUCAGCUUCUCUACGGGUCUCUCCACUUUCAGUGAUGAUCCUGCGCUAUCUAAUUCUGCUCCACCGGCAUUAAUGUCAGCCAUUGAACUUCGACCAGCACUGUCGACCCAUGAAUGUCUGUACAACCAAACAAAGUAAAUUAUUAGUUGGAAGUUCAUAUCUGUGUAUCUAAUCCAGCUGCUUUCAAACAUUCGCUGACGAUAGUUUGAUCUACGAUAACUGAUGACUGUAAACGCGUUGGAAGUUGAGUUUCACCAUCGUAUCGGGACUUCAACUCAGGUAAAAGAUGUGAAGCCUCUUUAUCACGUGCUUCAACAACCUACAUAAUGGUUCACAAAAUUUUG